CCGAGUUACAACUCCCAAACCCUGUGAACAUACCACUUGUUGCCUCGGCGGAUCAGCCCGCUCCCGGUAAAACGGGACGGCCCGCCAGAGGACCCCUAAACUCUGUUUCUAUAUGUAACUUCUGAGUAAAACCAUAAAUAAAUCA
RNAcentral lists this unclassified non-coding RNA (145 nucleotides) under soil metagenome. RNAcentral's name for it is "partial internal transcribed spacer 1". The record is from RNAcentral.